GAUGAACGCUGGCGGCGUGCCUAAUACAUGCAAGUCGAGCGAACAGACGAGGAGCUUGCUCCUCUGACGUUAGCGGCGGACGGGUGAGUAACACGUGGAUAACCUACCUAUAAGACUGGGAUAACUUCGGGAAACCGGAGCUAAUACCGGAUAAUAUAUUGAACCGCAUGGUUCAAUAGUGAAAGACGGUUUUGCUGUCACUUAUAGAUGGAUCCGCGCCGCAUUAGCUAGUUGGUAAGGUAACGGCUUACCAAGGCGACGGUGCGUAGCCGACCUGAGAGGGUGAUCGGCCACACUGGAACUGAGACACGGCCCAGACUCCUACGGGAGGCAGCAGUAGGGAAUCUUCCGAAAUGGGCGAAAGCCUGACGGAGCAACGCCGCGUGAGUGAUGAAGGUCUUCGGAUCGUAAAACUCUGUUAUUAGGGAAGAACAAAUGUGUAAGUAACUAUGCACGUCUUGACGGUACCUAAUCAGAAAGCCACGGCUAACUACGUG
Molecule: ribosomal RNA, 497 nt
Filed under: uncultured bacterium
Lineage: Bacteria
Description: partial 16S ribosomal RNA
Rfam family: Bacterial small subunit ribosomal RNA
Source: RNAcentral